GAGCGGGAGCCGGGAAUGGAAAGCCCGGUACAAGCGAGGUACCAGUACGGUAGGAAAAUCCGCCGUGCAAUGGGAAGACGUGAUGUGGAGCGAAAUAUAGUAGCGAAGCCCGUGAGCCAUGCGUCAAGAAAAGCCGCUAUUGUUUAUAUUGUACCCGUACCGUAAACCGACACAGGUGGAUGAGGAGAGAAUCCUAAGGCCGGCGGAAGAAGUAUUGCCAAGGAACUCGGCAAAAUGGCCCCGUAACUUAGGGAGAAGGGGUGCCUGCGAGAGCAGGCCGCAGAGAAUAGGCUCAAGCAACUGUUUAGCAAAAACACAGGUCUAUGCGAAACCGAAAGGUGAGGUAUAUGGGCUGACGCCUGCCCGGUGCUGGAAGGUUAAGAGGAGAGGUUAGACGCAAGUCGAAGCUUUGAAUUUAAGCCCCAGUAAACGGCGGCCGUAACUAUAACGGUCCUAAGGUAGCGAAAUUCCUUGUCGGGUAAGUUCCGACCCGCACGAAAGGCGUAAUGAUUUGAGCGCUGUCUCGGCAAUACAUCCGGUGAAAUUGAAGUGCCAGUGAAGAUGCUGGCUACCCGCGCCAGGACGGAAAGACCCCAUGGAGCUUUACUCCAGUUUGGCACUGGGGUCCGGUGUUGCAUGUACAGGAUAGGUGGGAGGCUGAGAGAUAGUGACGUCAGUUGCUAUGGAGCCGCUGUUGGGAUACCACCCUUGUGAUAUUGGGCUUCUAACCAGCCGCCGUGAACCGGCGGUGGGACAAUGCCAGGCGGGGAGUUUGACUGGGGCGGUCG
This 788-nucleotide ribosomal RNA is filed under the name Ruminococcus sp. OM08-9BH. RNAcentral describes it as "bacterial LSU rRNA". It matches the Rfam family "Bacterial large subunit ribosomal RNA", at positions 1483 to 2285 of the family's 2925-position model. Lineage: Bacteria; Bacillati; Bacillota; Clostridia; Eubacteriales; Oscillospiraceae. The record is from RNAcentral.